AUUGAACGCUGGCGGCAGGCCUAACACAUGCAAGUCGAGCGGAUGAAGGGAGCUUGCUCCUGGAUUCAGCGGCGGACGGGUGAGUAAUGCCUAGGAAUCUGCCUGGUAGUGGGGGAUAACGUCCGGAAACGGGCGCUAAUACCGCAUACGUCCUGAGGGAGAAAGUGGGGGAUCUUCGGACCUCACGCUAUCAGAUGAGCCUAGGUCGGAUUAGCUAGUUGGUGGGGUAAAGGCCUACCAAGGCGACGAUCCGUAACUGGUCUGAGAGGAUGAUCAGUCACACUGGAACUGAGAAACGGUCCAGAAUCCUACGGGAGGCAGCAGUGGGGAAUAUUGGACAAUGGGCGAAAGCCUGAUCCAGCCAUGCCGCGUGUGUGAAGAAGGUCUUCGGAUUGUAAAGCACUUUAAGUUGGGAGGAAGGGCAGUAAGUUAAUACCUUGCUGUUUUGACGUUACCAACAGAAUAAGCACCGGCUAACUUCGUG
RNAcentral lists this ribosomal RNA (484 nucleotides) under uncultured bacterium. Its description in RNAcentral is "partial 16S ribosomal RNA". It matches the Rfam family "Bacterial small subunit ribosomal RNA", at positions 30 to 507 of the family's 1533-position model. The record is from RNAcentral.